This 497-nucleotide ribosomal RNA is filed under the name uncultured bacterium. Its description in RNAcentral is "partial 16S ribosomal RNA". It matches the Rfam family "Bacterial small subunit ribosomal RNA", at positions 28 to 507 of the family's 1533-position model. The record is from RNAcentral.
GAUGAACGCUGGCGGCGUGCCUAAUACAUGCAAGUCGAGCGAAGAGGCGAGGGACUUGCCCCCCUGACGUUAGCGGCGGACGGGGGAGUAACACGUGGAUAACCUCCCUAUCAGACUGGGAUAACUUCGGGAAACAGGAGCUAAUACCGGAUAAAAAGCUGCACCGCAUGGUUCAACAGUGAAGGUCGGUCUUGCUAUCACUUAUAGGUGGAUCCGCGCCGCAUUAGCUAGUUGGUAAGGUAACGGGUUACCAAGGCAACGAUGCGUAGCCGACCUGAGAGGGUGAUCGGCCACGCUGGAGCUGAGGCACGGUCCAGAUUCCUACGGGAGGCAGCAGUGGGGAAUCUGCCGCAAUGGGCGAAAUCAUGUCGGAGCAACGCCGCGUGAGUGAAGAAGGUCUUCGGAUCGUAAAACUCUGUUAUUAGGGUAGAACAAAUGUGUAAGUAACUAUGCACGUCUUGACGGUACCUAAUCAGAAAGCCACGGCUAACUACGUG